UCGUUGGGGUGCUCCGGUCAUUCGGACCGGAGCUGAGAUCAAACCCGCAGAACCUGAUCCGGAUCAUGCCGGCGUAGGAAUCA
RNAcentral lists this non-coding RNA (83 nucleotides) under human gut metagenome. Its description in RNAcentral is "TPP riboswitch (THI element)". It matches the Rfam family "TPP riboswitch aptamer (THI element)", at positions 11 to 88 of the family's 105-position model. From Rfam's summary of the family: Vitamin B(1) in its active form thiamin pyrophosphate (TPP) is an essential coenzyme that is synthesised by coupling of pyrimidine and thiazole moieties in bacteria. The record is from RNAcentral.